This 2744-nucleotide long non-coding RNA is filed under the name Homo sapiens (human). RNAcentral's name for it is "non-protein coding NRSN2-AS1:18". Lineage: Eukaryota; Metazoa; Chordata; Mammalia; Primates; Hominidae. The record is from RNAcentral.
GAUGUUAGCCUGUAAAAUGAACUACAGGAAUAGCUACAGAUUGGAAACAACCUGUGGUGGUUUUAAAAUAUAGCUACAAAUUCUUUAGCACUCCUCUGUAGAGAGGUGGGAUCCUUGUACCCUCUCUGAAUCUUGGGUGAGCUGAUGACUGCUUCAACCAAUGGAGUACGGUGGAAGUAACACUCUGACUUCUAAGGUCCAGACAUAAAAGUACAGGCAACUUCUGCUAGAACUCUAGCUCUUGGAGCCUGAGGCACCAUGCCUACCUAGGGCUCCAUGUCUGCUUAGAGGCUGCCAUGCUGUCAGGAUGCCAAGACCAUCAGGAGAGGACACAUGAAGGCACCACAGUCCCAGCUAAGCUUAGCUUUGAGUCAUCCCAGUUCAAGCAUAAAAGAAGUGAGUGAAGAAGAACCAGAUGAGGCCAGGCACGGUGGCUCACACCUGUAAUCCCAGCACUUUGGGAGGCCAAGGCGGGUGGAUACCCUGAGUUCAGGAGUUCGAGACCAGCCUGGCCACAUGGCAAAACCCCGUCUCUACUAAAAAUACAAAAAUAGCCGGGCAUGGUGGCGUGCACCUGUAAUCCCAGCUACUAGGGAGGAUGAGGCAGGAGAAUUGCUUGAACCCGGGAGGCAGAGGUUGCAGUGAGCCGACAUCAUGCCAUUGCACUGUAGAAGGCGAAGGGGAAGGGGAAGAACAAGAUGAUUCCAGUGGCCAGCCAUUUGAAUCAGCUUCAGCCUUCAAAUCUUCAAAUCUUCCUAGCUGAAGACUCAAACAUUGCAGAGUAGAAACAAGCUGGCCUCACUGUGUCCUGCCUGAAUUCCUGACACACAGAACCCACAAGCAUAUUCAAGUGGUUAUUGUGUUAUACCACUAGGUUUGGGGGGUUUUGUUCUGUGCUAACAGAUAACUGGGACACCACUUAAAUAUCCAUCAAUGGAAGACGAGUUAUGUACAUUAUAUGUCUUUGUGGAAUACUAUGCAUCCAUUAGAAAGAAGAAAUUAGUCUAUAAUUAUUUAUAUUAAUCACACUUCAAGUGAAGAAGGAUGCAGUGUUCUGAAAAGUCUUGAUAGUAUGCCUCCAUUUGAAAUUCUCAAAAAGAUGGCACAUAUAGAGAACUUCUGGGAAAAUAGACAAGAAAGAGGUAACAGUAGAUGCCUUGGGGGAGGGUAACUGAUGGCAAGGGUGGGAAUGAAAUUCACUUUUUUUUUUUUUUUUUGAGAUGGAGUCUCGCUCUGUCACCAGGCUGGAGGGCAGUGGUGCGAUCUCAGCUCACUGCAACCUCCGCCUCCCGGGUUCAAGCGAUUCUCCUGCCUCAGCCUCCCCAGUAGCUGGGACUACAAGCACAUGCCACCAUGCCCAGCUAAUUUUUUUUUGUAUUUUUAGCACUUUGGGAGGCUGAGGCAGGUGGAUCACAAGGUCAGGAGUUUGAGACCAGCCUGACCAACAUGGUGAAACCCUGUCUCUACUAAAAAUACAAAAAUCAGCCGGGUGUGGUGGCAUGCACCUGUAGUCCCAGCUACUCCGGAGGCUGAGGCAGGAGAAUCACUUGAAGCUGGGAGGCGGAGGUUGCAGUGAGCCAAGAUCGUGCCACUGCACCGUAGCCUGGGUGAUAAGAGUGAGACUCUGUCUCAAAAAAAAAAAAAAAAAAAAAAAAAAAAAAAAAGGGCAGUGGAUGUAGAGCUGGCAAAAACAAUGACAUUGAGAUGAAGCGUGCUCAGGUCAGAGCUCUAACGAAGCCCUCUGCUGCAGACUGAAUGUUUGUAUCUCCCUCAUAUUCAUAUGUUGAAGUCCUAAGGUGAUGUUAUUUGGAAGUGGGCCUUUGGGAGGGAUUACAGCCUGAUAAGAGGAGACUUGAGAGCUUGCUUCUUCUCUGUGCCAUUUGGGGCUACAAUAGGAUGGUCGUCUGUACACCAGAAGUCAGGCCCUUGGUUGCCAGCAGAAUGGAAUUUGCCAGCACCUUGAUCUUAGACUCUUCACCCUGCAGACCUGAGGAAUAAAUGUGUGUUGUCAAGCCACCUGCUCCAUGCUAAAUUGUUAUAGUAGCCCAAGCAGAUUAAGAUGCCUCUGUUUGGCUGUCUAUGGCUGCAUAACAGACCACUCCAAAUCCAAUGAUUUUUAUCAUCUUUCACAAUUUCUGUGGGUCAGGAAUUUGGGAAGGGCUCAUCUGGGUGGUUCUGCCUUGGUGUCUCUUUUGUGGUUACAGUGGAAGCCGGAGCACUGGGGAGCUGGAGCAGCUGGGAGCUGGCCAAGCAUCUCUCUUCAUAUAGCCUCAAGGCCUCUCCAUGUUGUCUCUCUGCAUGAGCCAGUUGGGCUUCCUCACAGCAUGGCAGCUGAGAGUGUUGACACCUCUUACACUGUAGCUCAGGACUCCCAUGAGUCAGGCCACAUUGCCUUUAUGACCCAGCCUCACAAGUCACCAUAGAAUCAUUUCUACUGUAGUCUGAGUCACUAAGUUUGGCUCAGAUUCAAGGGGAAGAAACAGACUCUGUUACUCAGUGGGAGGAGUCUUAAAGAAUUUAUAGACAUGGUUGGGCACGAUGGCUGAAGUCUGUAAUCCUAGCACUUUGGGAGGCCAAGAUGGGAGGAUCGCUUGAGCCCAGGAGCUCGAGACCAGCUUGGUCAACACAGGGAGCCCCUAUCUCUCCAAAAAACUUAAAAGUUAAAAAAAAUUAGCUGAGCAUGGUGGCACGCACCUGAUCGCACCACUGUAUCCAGCUCGGGCAACAAAGUGAGACUCUAUCUC